AAAGUCGUAACAAGGUUUCCGUAGGUGAACCUGCGGAAGGAUCAUUACCAAUCCACCUUUAUAAACCACUGUGAACUGUUCCUGUCCUUGGGUGGCAGGAGGAUUGCCCACUGAUUUCAGUGGCUUUCCAAUGGUCACCCAAAACUUUUUGGAAAACCACUUGUAUCAACCUCAUCUGUUGAAACUUUCUUUGCGGCCAUCUUAUGGCCCAAAGAAUCAUAGCAAAAAGAAAUACAACUUUUAACGGUGGAUCUCUUGGCUCAU
This 264-nucleotide unclassified non-coding RNA is filed under the name Chytridiomycota sp. RNAcentral describes it as "partial contains small subunit ribosomal RNA, internal transcribed spacer 1, and 5.8S ribosomal RNA". The stretch from base 1 to 47 matches the Rfam family "Eukaryotic small subunit ribosomal RNA", at positions 1785 to 1831 of the family's 1831-position model. The record is from RNAcentral. Lineage: Eukaryota; Fungi; Chytridiomycota.